This 1159-nucleotide long non-coding RNA is filed under the name Bos indicus x Bos taurus (hybrid cattle). RNAcentral describes it as "lncRNA (ENSBIXG00000001747.1)". Lineage: Eukaryota; Metazoa; Chordata; Mammalia; Artiodactyla; Bovidae. The record is from RNAcentral.
GCCGCGGGCGGAGGAGCGCGGGUGCUCCGGGCCAGAGGCCCCAGGCGCGCCCUGCGUGGUCACUUGCCCUCUUUUCCCCACUUGCUUGCGGUGGGGGCUGGGUGGCCCGGGUCCUCCCCUCCUCUCCUGGCGCCGGCUCGUCUUGGUGGGGGCGGGGAACUCCGCUCUGGAAGCUGAGGGGGGUGCUCAUGGAGGGGGCUGAAGGUUGGGUAGCGGACGGAGGGCCGGGGGCGCGUGGAGACCCCUACCCGGGCCGGGGCCCUCCGAAGAAAAGGGAGAGAUGCUUGGCUCCCCGCUCCGCCCGGUGCGAAUGGAAAGGAGAGCAGAUUCAGCCCGAAGCCCAGCGGAGAGGCAGCGGGCCGCAAGGGAUGGGGAUCCGGGCGAGGGUCGUGCUCCCUCCUCCCGCGCGCCGGCUGGGAGCCCGAAUUCGGGAGGAAGCAUUGGCGCGGGGCUCACGAGCGCACCAACUAACGACCAUUCUGCCUCGUGUCCCCCAGCCCCUCCCCGAAGGCGCGGAGAGUCGGCCUGGGGUGGGGGGGGGGGACAGAUUAGAUUUCGCUCCGCUCUCAUCAAUUUUCUGUUUAAUGUCACCCGGCCCCAUUGUGGGAGAGGAAAGCACGUCACCCAGGCCAUAAAUUGCGAUUAUGGGGCCUCCGGCCGCCUCCGCGUUCUAGGGACCCGGCGGACUCCGGCGAGCAGGUCGGACACCGGCCGCCCGAACCGGAGCCGGAGUCGCCUUGGAGCCGCCGAGCGACAGAGCUGGAUGGCGGUCCUUGGGGAGCGAGGAGCCCUGGAUUUGCAGCUGCUCUCAGGGAAAGUGGGGGCAAGUGCCGGGAGGGGCCCCACAGCUGGGCUAGGUUCUGGGGUGAGAGGGGCCCCCAGGCUGUGUGAGGGAAGACAGGUUCUCCAGAGCACUGGUGCCAGUGUGUGCUGUGAACGUAUCGGUGUGUGGGUGUGUGAUGUGCUGUAUAAUGCUCAAGCGUGUGCCCGUGAUGUGUUUGUGUUACAUGUGUGCACACAUACAUGUGUGUGGAUGGGUGAUAUGCAACGGUGCAUGCCCAGGUGUCAGGGCACAGCUGGCUGCAUGGGGCCAUUAGGGCAAGCUUGGGUACCUGCCAGGGAGGAAGCAAGCUGGGGGUUCAAGGACACCCCUGGGUAG